CAGAGAUGUUGGAGUAUGAGAGCAUAGUUUCUAAAUGGCAUGAAGAAGGUGGAGCUCUGGGUCAGCAGAAGGAGGGAGAGCGGUGUUUCAUAGUGUCAUGGAUGUCCACUGAUUUCACCUGAUUGGUAUUCUUUCCCCUUCGUCAGCCUAUCAGAUGUUUGCACAGGAGUGUAACCUUUGUAACUUCGCUGCAGCCUCUGAUUGCAGGCCGCCACUUCAUUUACAUGAGGUGACCACCAAGUGGCCAAUGGGAAACCUGCAGAGGGUAUUUGGACCUGAGAAGAUUCUGUAUCCAGGCACUUGAGCCCCUAUGCUCCGGCCACUCCCACACUGGGGAGUGUACUUUCAUUUUCAGUAAAUCCCUUCAUUCCUUCCUUGUUUUGCUGGUGCGUUUUGUCCAAUUCUUUGUUCAAGAUGCCAAGAACCUGGACACCCUCCACCGGUGACACAGCCAUGUGGAACUGUCUCAGACUUUGUGAAAUUACAUGCUAACUUGCAGACAUUUUUGUCUGGUGGAGAUGCAAAUGAUUUCUGUCUGAGAGAAAAGCCCCAAGACUCACCCAGAAGCAGAAGAUGGCUUCCCUCCUUGGGGCUUCCCUCCUGAACCCAUUUUGUUCUCAGACAGCUGAAACUUCACUGUCUUAUUAAACAUUUUUUUUAAACCAUU
This 667-nucleotide long non-coding RNA is filed under the name Homo sapiens (human). RNAcentral's name for it is "HSALNT0315265". Lineage: Eukaryota; Metazoa; Chordata; Mammalia; Primates; Hominidae. The record is from RNAcentral.